Molecule: transfer RNA, 62 nt
Filed under: Trichobilharzia regenti
Lineage: Eukaryota; Metazoa; Platyhelminthes; Trematoda; Strigeidida; Schistosomatidae
Rfam family: tRNA
About the family: Transfer RNA (tRNA) molecules are approximately 80 nucleotides in length. Their secondary structure includes four short double-helical elements and three loops (D, anti-codon, and T loops). Further hydrogen bonds mediate the characteristic L-shaped molecular structure. tRNAs have two regions of fundamental functional importance: the anti-codon, which is responsible for specific mRNA codon recognition, and the 3' end, to which the tRNAs corresponding amino acid is attached (by aminoacyl-tRNA synthetases). tRNAs cope with the degeneracy of the genetic code in two manners: having more than one tRNA (with a specific anti-codon) for a particular amino acid; and 'wobble' base-pairing, i.e. permitting non-standard base-pairing at the 3rd anti-codon position.
Source: Rfam by way of RNAcentral
AAUAGCUCAGUAGGGAGAGCGUUAGACUGAAGAUCUAAAUGUCCCCGGUUCGAUCCCGGGUU